This 988-nucleotide ribosomal RNA is filed under the name Escherichia coli. RNAcentral's name for it is "partial 23S ribosomal RNA". It matches the Rfam family "Bacterial large subunit ribosomal RNA", at positions 757 to 1744 of the family's 2925-position model. The record is from RNAcentral. Lineage: Bacteria; Pseudomonadati; Pseudomonadota; Gammaproteobacteria; Enterobacterales; Enterobacteriaceae.
UAACACUAACUGGAGGACCGAACCGACUAAUGUUGAAAAAUUAGCGGAUGACUUGUGGCUGGGGGUGAAAGGCCAAUCAAACCGGGAGAUAGCUGGUUCUCCCCGAAAGCUAUUUAGGUAGCGCCUCGUGAAUUCAUCUCCGGGGGUAGAGCACUGUUUCGGCAAGGGGGUCAUCCCGACUUACCAACCCGAUGCAAACUGCGAAUACCGGAGAAUGUUAUCACGGGAGACACACGGCGGGUGCUAACGUCCGUCGUGAAGAGGGAAACAACCCAGACCGCCAGCUAAGGUCCCAAAGUCAUGGUUAAGUGGGAAACGAUGUGGGAAGGCCCAGACAGCCAGGAUGUUGGCUUAGAAGCAGCCAUCAUUUAAAGAAAGCGUAAUAGCUCACUGGUCGAGUCGGCCUGCGCGGAAGAUGUAACGGGGCUAAACCAUGCACCGAAGCUGCGGCAGCGACGCUUAUGCGUUGUUGGGUAGGGGAGCGUUCUGUAAGCCUGCGAAGGUGUGCUGUGAGGCAUGCUGGAGGUAUCAGAAGUGCGAAUGCUGACAUAAGUAACGAUAAAGCGGGUGAAAAGCCCGCUCGCCGGAAGACCAAGGGUUCCUGUCCAACGUUAAUCGGGGCAGGGUGAGUCGACCCCUAAGGCGAGGCCGAAAGGCGUAGUCGAUGGGAAACAGGUUAAUAUUCCUGUACUUGGUGUUACUGCGAAGGGGGGACGGAGAAGGCUAUGUUGGCCGGGCGACGGUUGUCCCGGUUUAAGCGUGUAGGCUGGUUUUCCAGGCAAAUCCGGAAAAUCAAGGCUGAGGCGUGAUGACGAGGCACUACGGUGCUGAAGCAACAAAUGCCCUGCUUCCAGGAAAAGCCUCUAAGCAUCAGGUAACAUCAAAUCGUACCCCAAACCGACACAGGUGGUCAGGUAGAGAAUACCAAGGCGCUUGAGAGAACUCGGGUGAAGGAACUAGGCAAAAUGGUGCCGUAACUUCGGGAGAA